RNAcentral lists this ribosomal RNA (1266 nucleotides) under Triticum aestivum (bread wheat). RNAcentral's name for it is "partial small subunit ribosomal RNA". Lineage: Eukaryota; Viridiplantae; Streptophyta; Magnoliopsida; Poales; Poaceae. The record is from RNAcentral.
AUGAACGCACAUCUUGAUAUGGCUUUUACGGCAGAGGAGGUUCAGACGACGCUGUUUGAGAUAGCCCCAUCCAAGGCGCCCGGGGUGGAUGGCUUUACUUCGGGAUUUUUUCAGAGACACGGGUCCUUGUUGAAAGAUGAUAUAGUCCCGUCGGUGUUGGGUUUUUUGAAUGGGGGCCGGGUGAGAGUGAGGGAUUUUCUUCAUGAAAUAUGCGUGAACAGAGAGAAUAGCUCCAUCUUUUUUAGUCCAAACACACCAUAUCCAGUUAGAGUAAUGCUGAAAGGAGCCACGGGCAUUGCCGUCGAGGCCUUCAAUGAAAGAUACUUAGGCCUCCCAACAGUAAUUGGACGAAUUACAUCUGGUACUUUUGAUUUCAUCGGAGAGAGAGUGAGAUCAAAGAUGAAUGGAAUGGGAUUUCGUGAUCUGGAAUGUUUCAAUGUUGCAUUGUUGGGAAAGCAUGGUUGGGGGCUGAUUACAAGUCCGCAUUCUUUAUGCUCCAGGGUGCUCAAAGGUCGCUACUUCCCAACGACAGAAUUCAUGCAUGCUACUGUUCCACGCAAUGCUUCGACUACCUGGCAAGCGAUCGUUGUAGGGAGGGCAGCGUUAGAGGUUGGACUGCUAAAGAAGAUCGGGAAUGGCUCCUCUAUAAACAUCUGGGAAGAUAGAUGGCUGCCGGGGAUGAAUAACUUCAUACACCCGGAUGUUGAUGCAAUUCUAAACAUUCCACUCAGACAAGGGGGUGGUGAUGAUAUCUGGGCUUGGGCUCAUGAGAGUGUUCUCAUGCUCAAUGCUUCCGGACAGAAGCGAGAAGCUGGCUUCACCUCAAGCUGCUCGAGUUACACCCUAACCAGGAUGUUGCCUGGGUUCGGAUGGAGACCGCCUGAACAUGACUGGGUUAAGAUCAACACAGAUGCUAGCGUCUCAUUGACUAAAAAUAAGAGUGGAGUAGGAGGAUUAGCAAGAACUCCUUCAUUUAUUGCUGCCUGGAGCAAGCCUUGCCCCGAUGUUACGGAUCCACUAAUAGCAGAAGCUUUUGCUCUGCGACAUAGGGUGAUUCUUGCAAAGCUCCAGGGCCUCCUCUCCUACAAGCUGAAUCAAAUCCGGCUAUCGCAGCUACCGGCGGCAUGGUACGGCGUGGCCGACGGCGGUGAUGGAUACCGGCAAUAUGGUUCGGCGUGCGUGACAAUGGCACCGCUUGCCACCACCGCCAGCUUCUACAACUCCUGCGACGGCGACUCUCUGGCGCGCUGCGCUGCCUUCACAUGA